RNAcentral lists this unclassified non-coding RNA (361 nucleotides) under Hevea brasiliensis (rubber tree). Lineage: Eukaryota; Viridiplantae; Streptophyta; Magnoliopsida; Malpighiales; Euphorbiaceae. The record is from RNAcentral.
GUCCUAACAGAGCAACAUAUGCAGUAAAUUUUACAAAAAGCAGUAGCAGAGAAGAAAGUUAAUUAUGGAAGUUAGGGCUUUGGCCCAAAUUAGGGAUUUUGUGCUUUGAUGUUUAAUUGAUGUUCUAAUUGUGCUUCAAGGUUAGAGAAGCUUCUGAAACUUUUGGGUGUUUUAAAUUGGUUUAUGAUCAAAUAUCCAUGCACUUGCGAGCAGAGACCUUUUCAAUGAUAAGGCAAGUUUUUGAACUUCCUUCGGAGAGAGAGAGGAAGAAUUUUAGUCCAAAGCCUUACCAUGGCUAUGCCGGCCAGUUUGCCAUAGCUCUUUUGUAUGAGAGCUCGAGUAUUUAAGGUGUCUCCAACCA